CUGGUGUUCAGAAAAGAGUUUUAGCUCUACCUUAAGUUUUUUUAUUACACCCAUAAAUCCCCCAAACUUAAGAGCUAUUCAAAUAAGGCACAGCUUAUUUGAAACAGGACACAACCUCAAACACUGGGUAAAUUUAAGUGAUCUAAAUAAAGUGGGCCUAAAAGCAGCCAUCUUUUAAAAAGCGUCAUAGCUUAACUUCCAUCACAUACUAAUUUAUUAAACCCCUCUUAACCCUUCACCAAUACUGAACUGUUUUAUAUUUUUAUAAAAAUAAUUAUGCUAGAACUAGUAACAAGAAAUUUGCCUUUCUCCAAAUUGCAAGUAUAAAUCAAAACGACACCCCAAUGAUAAUUAACGUAAAUAUAUAAAAUAUAGUAACAAAUAUCUAGAAAAUUCUAUAGCCCUAGACGUUAACCUUACACCAGAGCAUUACAGGAAAGAUUAAAAGAGAAAGAAGGACUCGGCAAACUUCAGCCCCGCCUG
RNAcentral lists this ribosomal RNA (483 nucleotides) under Hylarana nigrovittata (black-striped frog). Its description in RNAcentral is "Sylvirana nigrovittata (black-striped frog) partial 16S ribosomal RNA". Lineage: Eukaryota; Metazoa; Chordata; Amphibia; Anura; Ranidae. The record is from RNAcentral.